Molecule: ribosomal RNA, 724 nt
Filed under: Bacillus anthracis (anthrax bacterium)
Lineage: Bacteria; Bacillati; Bacillota; Bacilli; Caryophanales; Bacillaceae
Description: bacterial LSU rRNA
Rfam family: Bacterial large subunit ribosomal RNA
Source: RNAcentral
UUUGGUUAAGUUAGAAAGGGCGCACGGUGGAUGCCUUGACACUAGGAGUCGAUGAAGGACGGGACUAACGCCGAUAUGCUUCGGGGAGCUGUAAGUAAGCUUUGAUCCGAAGAUUUCCGAAUGGGGAAACCCACCAUACGUAAUGGUAUGGUAUCCUUAUCUGAAUACAUAGGGUAAGGAAGACAGACCCAGGGAACUGAAACAUCUAAGUACCUGGAGGAAGAGAAAGCAAAUGCGAUUUCCUGAGUAGCGGCGAGCGAAACGGAACAUAGCCCAAACCAAGAGGCUUGCCUCUUGGGGUUGUAGGACAUUCUAUACGGAGUUACAAAGGAACGAGGUAGACGAAGCGACCUGGAAAGGUCCGUCGUAGAGGGUAACAACCCCGUAGUCGAAACUUCGUUCUCUCUUGAAUGUAUCCUGAGUACGGCGGAACACGUGAAAUUCCGUCGGAAUCUGGGAGGACCAUCUCCCAAGGCUAAAUACUCCCUAGUGAUCGAUAGUGAACCAGUACCGUGAGGGAAAGGUGAAAAGCACCCCGGAAGGGGAGUGAAAGAGAUCCUGAAACCGUGUGCCUACAAAUAGUCAGAGCCCGUUAACGGGUGAUGGCGUGCCUUUUGUAGAAUGAACCGGCGAGUUACGAUCCCGUGCGAGGUUAAGCUGAAGAGGCGGAGCCGCAGCGAAAGCGAGUCUGAAUAGGGCGUUUAGUACGUGGUCGUAGACCCGA